Molecule: ribosomal RNA, 450 nt
Filed under: uncultured Glomeromycotina
Lineage: Eukaryota; Fungi; Glomeromycota
Description: SSU rRNA
Rfam family: Eukaryotic small subunit ribosomal RNA
Source: RNAcentral
AGCAGCCGCGGUAAUUCCAGCUCCAAUAGCGUAUAUUAAAGUUGUUGCAGUUAAAAAGCUCGUAGUUGAAUUUCGAGACCGGUUUACUGGUCGUGCUUUUGUACGUACUGGUAUUAUUGGUUUCUCCUUUCUGACGAAUCUUAAUGCCAUUAAUUUGGUGUUUUGGGGAAUCAGGACUGUUACUUUGAAAAAAUUAGAGUGUUUAAAGCAGGCUCACGCUUGAAUACAUUAGCAUGGAAUAACGGAAUAGGACGUUUGAUUCUAUUUUGUUGGUUUCUAGGAUCGACGUAAUGAUUAAUAGGGAUAGUUGGGGGCAUUAGUAUUCAAUUGUCAGAGGUGAAAUUCUUGGAUUUAUUGAAGACUAACUACUGCGAAAGCAUUUGCCAAGGAUGUUUUCAUUAAUCAAGAACGAAAGUUAGGGGAUCGAAGACGAUCAGAUACCGUCGUAGU